Cervus hanglu yarkandensis (Yarkand deer) is the source of this 116-nucleotide small nuclear RNA. The record is from Ensembl. Lineage: Eukaryota; Metazoa; Chordata; Mammalia; Artiodactyla; Cervidae.
GUGCUCGUUUCAGCAGCACAUAUAUUAAAAAUUGGGAGAAGAAAUUAAAAAAAGAGAAGAUUAGCAUGGCCCUACACAAGGAUGACACGCAAAUUCGUGAAGCAUACAUAUUUUUU